Molecule: RNA transcript, 977 nt
Organism: Scylla paramamosain (green mud crab)
Lineage: Eukaryota; Metazoa; Arthropoda; Malacostraca; Decapoda; Portunidae
Exons: 4
Source: RefSeq, a predicted model, not a curated record
CCCGUGACUCCCGUGCCCAGUGAGGCACGAGGAGUACGCGGAGCAAUAACAUAUUGAUACUGGUGCCGUGCAAUACAGAGCGGAGAGUGUAAAUCCGUCACUCAGCAUCGACCAUUUGUGUAAAAAAUAAUGAAUGAAGAGAGAGAGAGAGAGAGAGAGAGAGAGAGAGAGAGAGAGAGAGAGAGAGAGAGAGAGAGCAUUUCAGUUGAGCCUAUUCUGCCCUGGUUCGUGUUUGCUGCGGUGACACGGUGCCGCACUGAGUGAAGAUUGCGUUCAUAAUCACUUAUCGGGGGUGGAGUGGGGAAAGGAGAGUCAGGAAGUGAGGAUAUUUAUAUUAUUUGACAUAUUAUUUGAUAGCAUGUCAACUUUUGUGUGUGUGUGUGUGUGUGGGUGUGUGGGUGGGUGUUGGAUCAGUGACAGGUGGCGCUGGGGAGUUACCACGGCGAGCGGCUGGCUGGCUGCAGUGUUUUGGUCAGCACUGGUCAAUCUUGCCCUACACGCUCUAUUAACCAGUGUUUCCGUCUUCCCGACACCUUCUUCUUGCACCAAGCACCGUCAAGCAUCACCAGAGAGGCACGAGUACGUAAGAUAAUCAAGGAGUUCCUGAGAUUAGAACCACAAGCGGAUGAACCAGACCCAAGAGUAGCAGUUUUGAAAGGGCUGGAGAAAUAUAGGCUCCCAAUAAUUGCCAUUCUCAAAAAAAGAAAAGCAGUUCCUCUGUAUAUGGAAACCUUACUUGAACUCUAUGGCCACGAUGAAAGUCAAUGCGAAUGCUUGCUUAGUUAUAUUGGGGUUACUUCACCUGCUUGGAGAAAGGAAAGACUCCAUUUUUACUAAGGUACCAGAAGAAGAACUAAGAACAGGGCAGUCUAGUGUGUAUUUGAUGGUGCACCUGUAGCUGAACCAACAUGUAUUUCUAUGGCUGUAGUCUCAUUGGUAGCAGGGCUUUGUGUUUAAUAUUGAACACCCCAAAAAUU